Long non-coding RNA from Lethenteron reissneri (Far Eastern brook lamprey), 1326 nucleotides. RefSeq lists it as uncharacterized. The record is from RefSeq and is a predicted model, not a curated record. NCBI's taxonomy places the organism in Eukaryota, Metazoa, Chordata, Hyperoartia, Petromyzontiformes, Petromyzontidae.
GUUUAGGUAUUGUAGGGUUAGGUGUUGUAGGUUUAGGUGUUGUAGGGUUUAGGUGUUGUGGGUUUAUGUGUUGUAGGUUUAUGUGUUGUAGGUUUAGGUGUUGUAGGUUUAGGUGUUGUAGGUUUAGGUGUUGUAGGUUUAUGCAUUGUGGGUUUAGGUGUUAUAGGGUUAGCUGUUGUAGGUGUAUGCGUUGUGGGUUUAGUUGUUGUAGGUGUAUGCGUUGUGGGGUUUAGCUGUUGUAGGUGUAUGCGUUGUGGGUUUAGUUGUUGUAGGUGUAUGCGUUGUGGGGUUUAGUUGUUGUAGGUGUAUGCGUUGUGGGUUUAGGUGUUGUAGGGUUUAGCUGUUGUAGGUGUAUGCGUUGUGGGUUUAGUUGUCGUAGGUGUAUGCGUUGUGGGGUUUAGUUGUUGUAGGUGUAUGUGUUGUGGGUUUAGUUGUUGUAGGUGUAUGCGUUGUGGGUUUAGUUGUUGUAGGUGUAUGCGUUGUGGGUUUAGCUGUUGUAGGUUUAGGUGUUGUAGGGUUUAGCUGUUGUAGGUUUAUGCGUUGUGGGUUUAGCUGUUGUAGGUGUAUGCGUUGUGGGUUUAGCUGUUGUAGGGUUUAGGUGUUGUGGGUUUAGGUGUUGUAGGUUUAGCUGUUGUAGGGUUUAGGUGUUGUAGGGUUUAGGUGUUGUGGGUUUAGCUGUUGUAGGUUUAUGCGUUGUGGGGUUUAGCUGUUGUAGGUGUAUGCGUUGUGGGUUUAGCUGUUGUAGGGUUUAGGUGUUGUGGGUUUAGCUGUUGUAGGUUUAGGUGUUGUAGGGUUUAGCUGUUGUAGGUUUAGGUGUUGUAGGGUUUAGCUGUUGUAGGUUUAGGUGUUGUGGGGUUUAGCUGUUGUAGGGUUUAGGUGUUGUAGGUUUAGCUGUUGUAGGUGUAUGCGUUGUAGGGUUUAGCUGUUGUAGGUUUAUGCGUUGUAGGGUUUAGCUGUUGUAGGUGUAUGCGUUGCGGGUUUAGCUGUUGCAGACUUUGUGGGCAGCAGCAGCAGAGUGCAGUGUCCCCAUCGGCGAUGCUCAAUCCACUGCUGGAUGGAGGCCUCCUGGAACCACCGCCACCUCCACCGCCGCCACCUCGCGACCCUGCGAUGUCAACGGGUCCACGCGACUCGGAUUCCAUCGCUCCAUCUCCCAGCGGUGGGAGCCGACUUCCACCAGAACGCAAAUUCCGUUCCUUUGAGAUGAAAAAAAUGCCAACUCUCAAUAUUUACGCGAUCAAACCCAAACAAAAAUUACGGAUGAUAUUAUUUGGGUCUUUCGGUAAAGUCAACGUAGAUAAUUAAAUACAAUUAAUUUUUGUAUUA